AAGUAGCGGUUUAAGAAAACGUUUGACUGUUAAUCAAAAAGAGCACAGUAGUGUCUACUUAG
RNAcentral lists this transfer RNA (62 nucleotides) under Xenoturbella monstrosa. RNAcentral describes it as "tRNA-Asn". The record is from RNAcentral. Lineage: Eukaryota; Metazoa; Xenacoelomorpha; Xenoturbellidae.